AUUGAACGCUGGCGGCAUGCUUUACACAUGCAAGUCGAACGGUAACAGGCCGCAAGGUGCUGACGAGUGGCGAACGGGUGAGUAAUGCAUCGGAACGUGCCCAGUCGUGGGGGAUAACUACUCGAAAGAGUAGCUAAUACCGCAUACGAUCUAUGGAUGAAAGCGGGGGACCGUAAGGCCUCGCGCGAUUGGAGCGGCCGAUGUCGGAUUAGGUAGUUGGUGGGGUAAAGGCUCACCAAGCCAACGAUCUGUAGCUGGUCUGAGAGGACGACCAGCCACACUGGGACUGAGACACGGCCCAGACUCCUACGGGAGGCAGCAGUGGGGAAUUUUGGACAAUGGGCGCAAGCCUGAUCCAGCAAUGCCGCGUGCAGGAAGAAGGCCUUCGGGUUGUAAACUGCUUUUGUACGGAACGAAACGGCUCUGGUUAAUACCCGGGGCUAAUGACGGUACCGGAAGAAUAAGCACCGGCUAACUACGUG
This 482-nucleotide ribosomal RNA is filed under the name uncultured bacterium. Its description in RNAcentral is "partial 16S ribosomal RNA". It matches the Rfam family "Bacterial small subunit ribosomal RNA", at positions 30 to 507 of the family's 1533-position model. The record is from RNAcentral.